CUCUCUCUCUCUCUCUCUCUCUCUCUCUCUCUCUCUCUCUCUCUCUCUCUCUCUCUCUCUCUCUCUCUCUAGCAGGCCUACACUCUGCUGAAAAACUUCCUGAAAUGUAAGGCAGAUGCCCAUGAGGACUUCAGUGAGAAGCUCGUCGAACUUUAUCUUACAAUGGGUAGCAUUUGUCUAGCAGACAGAAGGAUACAAGAAGCUUAUCAGCUGUUCAGCAAGUCCUUACAGAUUCAAAUGGUUGUGGACUGUCCUCAGCAUAUGAAAGCCAAAGAGAUGCCCGGAAUUCUCAGCAUGUUGGAGAGGUUUCCCAUUGUCUGCAAGAGGAACAGAGUUGUCAAGUAGAAGAGAGAAAAAGUACUGAAGGUACUGCUGUCACUGUUCUGCAUCUCAUGCAAAGUGUGGUAGGAAAGUGGAUCUAAUGCAGUGGUGGUGUUUUGCAGAAUUUAAGCAAAUUAUCAAGUCAAAAAGAUGUGCAACAGCCUUCCACUCAUUCUGUUCUUAACAUGCACCCCUUUGCCCUUUUAACUUUAUUUGAAGACAGAGAUGUAAUAUAACCCAUCACAGUAACACAAACUGCAUGCAUUUUUAACAUUUAGCACAGUUUAGAACGAGACAGUAAUCUCUUAGAAAAGCAUGUCUCUAUACUUUUACUAGUGAACUUCUAAGGAUGUUCCAUUGCUAUUUUCAUGAAUAAAGCAUAAUCCUCCCAAAAGGGGGAAAUAUGAUUCCUUUUCCCCAUAAGUCUACCCUGACCUUUAUUAUUAUUAUUAUUUUAAACACACACUGAAAAAAGCCCAGCUACACGACUUGAAGUUUAG
This is a long non-coding RNA of Dromaius novaehollandiae (emu), 821 nucleotides long. RefSeq lists it as uncharacterized. NCBI's taxonomy places the organism in Eukaryota, Metazoa, Chordata, Aves, Casuariiformes, Dromaiidae. The record is from RefSeq and is a predicted model, not a curated record. The transcript is spliced from 3 exons.